AAGAAAUUCAUUGCAGCUGCUGACCACUGCACAAGAUUAGAAUGCGACUCUUGUGCGUGUGACAACGGCUAUUAUGGGUUUUCAAAAUCAUUUU
Molecule: non-coding RNA, 94 nt
Organism: Anopheles melas
Lineage: Eukaryota; Metazoa; Arthropoda; Insecta; Diptera; Culicidae
Source: Rfam